RNAcentral lists this transfer RNA (97 nucleotides) under Gemmatimonadales bacterium. RNAcentral's name for it is "tRNA-Sec". It matches the Rfam family "Selenocysteine transfer RNA". The record is from RNAcentral. RNAcentral also lists the same sequence under 1 other name. Lineage: Bacteria; Pseudomonadati; Gemmatimonadota; Gemmatimonadia; Gemmatimonadales.
GGGGGCGGAUCGGGCCUGGUGGCCCGCACGGUCUUCAAAACCGCUGGGAGGCGCCUGAGGCGGCUCCGGUGGGUUCGAUUCCCACACGCUCCCGCCA